UUGUUUAAUAUUUAAUUUUUGUUUGUGUAGUCCACGAAACAUAUGGUGAAGUCCAUGGUGAAGUCCACGUUUGUUUAAAAAAAAACCAUUGUGCGUUAACGUGGUAACAUGGAAUAAACAUAAACCACGAUGUUAAAAAACUUUUCACAGUACUGCAGACCUGAAGAUAUUUAAAAUUGUGUAUUAUAAAGAUAUUGUCAUUGGAUUUUAAACUUGGAUUUUUAGAGAGAAAUUUUUGCUUUUGGAAAUUCUUUACUGGAUUUGGACUUGAAGUUUGUUUUUGGAUUUGUAAAGAAAUGUUUAGGUUGUAAUAUUUGUGAAGGUCUAGAGAGUUAUAAUCCAUUGUCAAAACUCUACAAUGUUAUUUAUUCCUAAAGUGAAACUUAAGCUCGCAAAAUAAUCUGGCUUCUUCUCUAUAAUGGGUGUAAAAAUUUUCAAUACACUGCCCAAAGAGAUACAGUGAACAGGUUCGGUCGCAAAGUUUUAGGAAUAGAGUCAGUAGUCAUUUUAAUUGCAAAUAAUUUUUAUUAUUUUGAUAUUUUGAUAAUUUUGUUUUUCGAUGAUAAUUACACUAAUCGUAUGUUUGUCCCUUGAUUCGUCUACCUAAACACUCCUAUCUGAAGUCUUCCAAGAGCGGUAUUAGAAAUAAUACCUGUCUCUCUUCCCUGCUUUUGCUAUUGCCCUAUAAUUUUUUUGUACGCUUUCCUUAUUGAAAAAUAUCAAAAGGGAAAAAUGAUGAGUUUAGUUUUAUUUGUUUCAGUCACAAUGUAUAUUUUACAUGAUUUUUUGUUAUAUAUACGUAUGUCUUUAUCGGUUCUUUAUCAGGACACGCAAUUAUAGCAGUAAUUUAUUACUAAAGUGUAAAUCUUUAUGAUAAAUAAAUAAAUUACUCUUUGAA
Molecule: long non-coding RNA, 898 nt
Organism: Hydractinia symbiolongicarpus
Lineage: Eukaryota; Metazoa; Cnidaria; Hydrozoa; Anthoathecata; Hydractiniidae
Exons: 2
Source: RefSeq, a predicted model, not a curated record